RNAcentral lists this ribosomal RNA (468 nucleotides) under uncultured bacterium. RNAcentral describes it as "partial 16S ribosomal RNA". It matches the Rfam family "Bacterial small subunit ribosomal RNA", at positions 28 to 507 of the family's 1533-position model. The record is from RNAcentral.
GACGAACGCUGGCGGCGUGCUUAACACAUGCAAGUCGAACGGAAAGGCCCUGCUUUUGUGGGGUGCUCGAGUGGCGAACGGGUGAGUAACACGUGAGUAACCUGCCCUUGACUUUGGGAUAACUUCAGGAAACUGGGGCUAAUACCGGAUAGGAGCUCCUGCUGCAUGGUGGGGGUUGGAAAGUUUCGGCGGUUGGGGAUGGACUCGCGGCUUAUCAGCUUGUUGGUGGGGUAGUGGCUUACCAAGGCUUUGACGGGUAGCCGGCCUGAGAGGGUGACCGGCCACAAUGGGACUGAGAUACGGCCCAGACUCCAACGGGAGGCAGCAGUGGGGAAUAUUGCACAAUGGGCGGAAGCCUGAUGCAGCGACGCCGCGUGCGGGAUGACGGCCUUCGGGUUGAAAACCGAUUUCGCCUGUGACGAAGCGUGAGUGACGGUAAUGGGUAAAGAAGCACCGGCUAACUACGUG